AGAUCCGACUGCUAUCCGGGUAAGACUAAGCCAUGCAAGUCGAAUGGAACAGCUUGUUCCAUGGCGAACUGCUCAGUAACAAGUGAUUAACUUACCCUUCAGAAGUGCAUAACCUCGGGAAACUGAGGCUAAUUCACUAUAGUUGGAAAUGCCUGGAAUGGUUUUCCAUCGAAAGAUAUUUCUAAAUGCGGAAUGUUUGCUGAAGGAUAGGAUCGCUCUCGAUUAUGGUAGUUGGUGAGGUAAUGGCUCACCAAGCCUAUGAUCGAUAAGGGCCGUGAGAGCGGUAGCCCUGAGAUGGAUACUGAGACAAUGAUCCAGGCCUUACGAGGCGCAGCAGGCGCGAAACCUUUACAAUGCACGCAAGUGUGAUAAGGUUACCCGGAGUGCUAAAAGAAAAACUUUUAGCUGUUAUAGGUGUGUAAAUAACCCUAUGAGAAAGGAGAGGGCAAGGCUGGUGCCAGCCGCCGCGGUAAAACCAGCUCUUCAAGUGGUCGGGAAUAUUAUUGGGCUUAAAGUGUCCGUAGCCGGUUUGGUAAGUUCCUGGUUAAAUCUGGCAGCUUAACUGUCAGUCGGCUAGGAAUACUAUCUUACUAGAGGGUGGGAAAGGUUUGGGGUACUCCAGGGGUAGCGGUGAAAUGCGAUAAUCCUUGGGGGACCACCAGUGGCGAANGCGCCAGACUGGAACACGCCUGACGGUGAGGGACGAAAGCCANGGGAGCGAACGGGAUUAGAUACCCCGGUAGUCCUGGCCGUAAACGAUGCGUGCUANGUGUUGGUAGGGCUAUGANCUGUAUCAGUGCCGUNNGGAAACUGUUAAGCGCGCCGCCUGGGAAGUACGCUCGCAAGGGUG
Molecule: ribosomal RNA, 850 nt
Filed under: uncultured archaeon
Lineage: Archaea
Description: bacterial SSU rRNA
Rfam family: Archaeal small subunit ribosomal RNA
Source: RNAcentral